UGGGGAAUUUUGGACAAUGGGCGCAAGCCUGAUCCAGCCAUGCCGCGUGAGUGAAGAAGGCCUUCGGGUUGUAAAGCUCUUUCGGCGGGGACGAAAAGGUCCGUGACAACACCACGGAUCCAUGACGGUACCCGCAGAAGAAGCACCGGCUAACUACGUGCCAGCAGCCGCGGUAAUACGUAGGGUGCAGGCGUUAAUCGGAAUUACUGGGCGUAAAGCGUGCGCAGGCGGUUUGCUAAGAGAGAUGUGAAAUCCCCGGGCUUAACCUGGGAACUGCGUUUCUAACUGGCAGGCUUGAGUGUGGCAGAGGGGGGUGGAAUUCCACGUGUAGCAGUGAAAUGCGUAGAGAUGUGGAGGAACACCGAUGGCGAAGGCAGCCCCCUGGGCUAACACUGACGCUCAUGCACGAAAGCGUGGGGAGCAAACAG
Molecule: ribosomal RNA, 428 nt
Filed under: uncultured bacterium
Lineage: Bacteria
Description: bacterial SSU rRNA
Rfam family: Bacterial small subunit ribosomal RNA
Source: RNAcentral